GACGAACGCUGGCGGCGUGCUUAACACAUGCAAGUCGAACGGAAAGGCCCUGCUUUUGUGGGGUGCUCGAGUGGCGAACGGGUGAGUAACACGUGAGUAACCUGCCCUUGACUUUGGGAUAACUUCAGGAAACUGGGGCUAAUACCGGAUAGGAGCUCCUGCUGCAUGGUGGGGGUUGGAAAGUUUCGGCGGUUGGGGAUGGACUCGCGGCUUAUCAGCUUGUUGGUGGGGUAGUGGCUUACCAAGGCUUUGACGGGUAGCCGGCUUGAGAGGGUGACAGGCCACAUUGGGACUGAGAUACGGCCCAGACUCCUACGGGAGGCAGCAGUGGGGAAUAUUGCACAAUGGGCGGAAGCCUGAUGCAGCAACGCCGCGUGCGGGAUGACGGCCUUCGGGUUGUAAACCGCUUUCGCCUGUGACGAAGCGUGAGUGACGGUAAUGGGUAAAGAAGCACCGGCUAACUACGUG
RNAcentral lists this ribosomal RNA (468 nucleotides) under uncultured bacterium. RNAcentral's name for it is "partial 16S ribosomal RNA". It matches the Rfam family "Bacterial small subunit ribosomal RNA", at positions 28 to 507 of the family's 1533-position model. The record is from RNAcentral.